This 1301-nucleotide long non-coding RNA is filed under the name Equus caballus (horse). RNAcentral's name for it is "lncRNA (ENSECAG00000059208.1)". Lineage: Eukaryota; Metazoa; Chordata; Mammalia; Perissodactyla; Equidae. The record is from RNAcentral.
AACAAAUGUGUGGAACACCAACUCCCCAUUUCAACUCCUCUCCUGGUAUCCACCCUCCUGUGGAGUUCCCUCUCAGACUGCAUCGGGCUGAUGUGUAUAGCCACUAGGAUAUUGCAGAAAUGGUAGAGCGGGGCUUCUGAGGCAAGGUCAAUAAAAGACCUUCCAGAUCCCUCUUUGCUCUCUCUUGGAUCCCCCGCUCUGGGGGGAGCCAGCCGCCACGUGGGGAGGAUGCUCAGCCAGCGCUGUGGAGAGGUCACACAGCUGGCAAGGAACCGAGGCCUCCAGCCCAUAACAGCACCAACUUGGCAGGUGCAUAAGCUCGCCACCUUGCAGGCAGAUUCUCCAGGCUCAGGCAGACUUCCAGAAGAUGCAGCCCCAGCCAACAUCUUGACCUCAUGGGAAACCUCGAGCCAGAAGCACCCAGGCGUCCACCCCGGAACAAGAGUCCAAGCGAGGACCCUGCAGGGUUAUCGAGGGUUCCAGCCAGAGGGAUGAGCCCACCGUGGCUUCUUCGAGGGUCCUGUUGCACAGCUACUGUGUGCCUGGCAUGUGAUGCUUGGCACCAUUCCCUGACUGGGAGAAAAAGGGAGGAGAGGGCAGAGGUAGCCCGGCCACACUGCGCCCUCAGAGCAGCAUGGUCCAGCAGAACUUUCCGCAGCGAUGGCCAUGUUCUUCAUCUACUCUGCUCAGCGUGGGAGCCACGCCGGCCUCCAGAUCCAGCACUUGAAAUGUGGCUCAUGUCACCGAGAAACAGAAGGUUUAAUUUUAUUUCACUUUCAUUAGAGUAUAAAUGUCAAUAGCCAGUGGCGGCUAGUGGCUUCCGAAUUGGACAGCACAGCUCUUAAUCCUUGUUUUGGGUCUAUAAACACAAUCUCUAUUGAGUGUUUUUUUUUUUUUAAUUUUUAAAUUAAGGUACGAUUGACAUAGAGUAAAAUUCACCUUUUUUAGUGCACAGUUCUGUUGCUUUUGACAAAUACAUAGAGUCAUAUAAUCAUCACCACAAUCAUCGUCUCCUCUCCAAAAUUCUCACAUGUCAUUUUGUGGUCAACCUCUCCCCAGACCUCCAGCUCCUGGCAACCACUCAUCUGUGUCUCUCUCCAUAGUUUUGCCUUUUCCACAAUGUCCUACAAAUGAAGGCAUACACGGUGCAUUUGGGAAUCAUUCGUGUUGUUCUGUGUAUGCAUCCUUGCUCCUGUUCAUUGAUGCGUAGUAUUCCAUCUUAUGGUCAUACCACAGUUUGUUUAUUCACUCCCCACUUGAGGCACACUUGGGUUGUCACGUUGUUUCCAGUUUUUAGCAAU